RNAcentral lists this long non-coding RNA (671 nucleotides) under Ananas comosus (pineapple). RNAcentral's name for it is "long non-coding RNA (ACOM_LNC009236)". The record is from RNAcentral. Lineage: Eukaryota; Viridiplantae; Streptophyta; Magnoliopsida; Poales; Bromeliaceae.
UCUAAGAUGAAUAAAAUAUCUGAUCAUUUAAGUUAUUUUCUAGAAUAAAUUAUUUUAGAGGUGAAAUAUGAAAAUGUAUCCAAUCAUAGGUAUAAAGAUUUUGGCUAAAUUACAGAAAACCCUCCUAUUAAUACCAACUUUUUCAUUGCCUCCCCCUCCGUCAUUUAAAAAUCUACACUUUGCCCUCUUAAAAAAUAAAAAAAAUGUUCACUUUAAUUCCGCCGUACGUCAAUGUUUCGUUACGGUUCCAUUUAUAUUCUAAUUUUAUACUCAAAAUAUUCCUGAAACCCUCCUUCUUUCUCAUCCUCCGCCGCGCCGCCUCACCCUCCGCCGCCUCACGCUUGCCCACGCCCACCUCCCUAUCCAUGCCCACACACAUGCCUUCGCUUGCCUCCGCCGCCUCACCCUCACCCUCGCCCUCGCCCACCUCUCCAUCCACGCCCAUCCCGAAAAAGAUGAUGGGCAAUUUGAUCAUUUUGUCACAACAUACUCUCCUGUGAGUAUCUUUUAUUUAUUUUUUUAAGAGGGUAAAGUGCAGGUUUUUGAAUGACAGGAGGAGAAGUAAAAAAGCGGGUAUUCAUAGGAGGAUUUUCUAUAAUUUAGCCAAAGAUCUUUUAAGUAGUAAAAAUUAAACUUCAUACUUUUAUUAUAUAAAACAAAAUUUAUAUAUA